CCUACGGGUGGCUGCAGUGGGGAAUAUUGGACAAUGGGCGGAAGCCUGAUCCAGCAAUGCCGCGUGUGUGAAGAAGGCCUUAGGGUUGUAAAGCACUUUCAGAGGUAAGGAAGCAAUUAUAGUUAAUAGCUGUGAUUGUUGACGUUAGCCUCAGAAGAAGCACCGGCUAACUCUGUGCCAGCAGCCGCGGUAAUACAGAGGGUGCAAGCGUUAAUCGGAAUUACUGGGCGUAAAGGGUGUGUAGGUUGUUGAGGCAAGUCAGGUGUAAAAACCCC
This 275-nucleotide ribosomal RNA is filed under the name uncultured bacterium. RNAcentral's name for it is "partial 16S ribosomal RNA". It matches the Rfam family "Bacterial small subunit ribosomal RNA", at positions 338 to 604 of the family's 1533-position model. The record is from RNAcentral.